This 158-nucleotide unclassified non-coding RNA is filed under the name uncultured Leotiomycetes. RNAcentral describes it as "sequence contains ITS2". Lineage: Eukaryota; Fungi; Ascomycota; Leotiomycetes. The record is from RNAcentral.
CAACCCCUCAAGCUCUGCUUGGCGUUGGGCACCGUCAGUCAAGCGACGGGCCUCAAAAUCAGUGGCGGCGCCGUCGGGUCCUGAACGUGGUAAUCUACAUUCGUUACAGGGCCUCGGCGAGCCUGCAGCCAUCAACCUCCCCCAGGGAGCAUUCUUCU